GAUCCUGGCUCAGGAUGAACGCUAGCUACAGGCUUAACACAUGCAAGUCGAGGGGAAACGACAUCGAAAGCUUGCUUUUGAUGGGCGUCGACCGGCGCACGGGUGAGUAACGCGUAUCCAACCUGCCCAUCGCUUGGGGAAUAACCUUGCGAAAGUAAGACUAAUGCCCAAUGAUAUCCCGACGAAGGCAUCCGAAUGGGAUUAAAGAUUUAUCGGUGAUGGAUGGGGAUGCGU
This 234-nucleotide ribosomal RNA is filed under the name uncultured bacterium. RNAcentral's name for it is "partial 16S ribosomal RNA". It matches the Rfam family "Bacterial small subunit ribosomal RNA", at positions 15 to 236 of the family's 1533-position model. The record is from RNAcentral.